Molecule: ribosomal RNA, 787 nt
Filed under: uncultured bacterium
Lineage: Bacteria
Description: bacterial SSU rRNA
Rfam family: Bacterial small subunit ribosomal RNA
Source: RNAcentral
UCAGAUUGAACGCUGGCGGCAUGCCUUACACAUGCAAGUCGAACGGCAGCACGGAGCUUGCUCUGGUGGCGAGUGGCGAACGGGUGAGUAAAUAUAUCGGAACGUAYCCUGGAGUGGGGGAUAACGUAGCGAAAGUUACGCUAAUACCGCAUACGAUCUAAGGAUGAAAGUGGGGGAUCGCAAGACCUCAUGCUYGUGGAGCGGCCGAUAUCUGAUUAGCUAGUUGGUAGGGUAAAAGCCUACCAAGGCAUCGAUCAGUAGCUGGUCUGAGAGGACGACCAGCCACACUGGAAYUGAGACWCGGUCCAGACUCCUACGGGAGGCAGCAGUGGGGAAUUUUGGACAAUGGGCGCAAGCCUGAUCCAGCAAUGCCGCGUGAGUGAAGAAGGCCUUCGGGUUGUAAAGCUCUUUUGUCAGGGAAGAAACGGUGGGAGCUAAUAUCUCCUGCUAAUGACGGUACCUGAAGAAUAAGCACCGGCUAACUACGUGCCAGCAGCCGCGGUAAUACGUAGGGUGCAAGCGUUAAUCGGAAUUACUGGGCGUAAAGCGUGCGCAGGCGGUUUUGUAAGUCUGAUGUGAAAUCCCCGGGCUCAACCUGGGAAUUGCAUUGGAGACUGCAAGGCUAGAAUCUGGCAGAGGGGGGUAGAAUUCCACGUGUAGCAGUGAAAUGCGUAGAUAUGUGGAGGAACACCGAUGGCGAAGGCAGCCCCCUGGGUCAAGAUUGACGCUCAUGCACGAAAGCGUGGGGAGCAAACAGGAUUAGAUACCCUGGUAGUCCACGCCCUAA